RNAcentral lists this long non-coding RNA (1357 nucleotides) under Marmota monax (woodchuck). Lineage: Eukaryota; Metazoa; Chordata; Mammalia; Rodentia; Sciuridae. The record is from RNAcentral.
UAUUUUUUUAAAUAAGUUUUUCCUGAUUUUCAGUCUUUUUUCCCACUUGUGAUCGACAUGAACCCAGGUGGUAAUAAUUGAGAAUUGCUGCCUUGAUACAUUAGUUCAUAACAUGCUUAUAUUGAUUUGCCAGCCAAGAAAUAACAUUUAUAUGAUAAUAGACUAGCUUCCUUUAUUUAAAGCUUAUAAACAUGUGAAAAAAUCUCUAAUUUAGUGACAUACAAAAAGUAUUUCUUUUUUUUAUAUCUUUAUUUUUAUAUAUGUAGUGCUGAGGAUCGAACCAGUGCCUCACAUGUUCAAGGCAAGCACUUACCACUAAGCCACAACCCCAGUCCAACAAAAAGUAUUUCUAAAAAGAGAAAUUGGUAGCAUAAGAAGCCCUCAUAUAGGCAUUUAUUCAAAACCAAAUUAUGGAACCAUAGGCAUAUUUUUUAUCUUCAUGAUUAUUUUAUUAAUCUCUCUGCUGGACUUUAAAAUAUUUUAUUUUUGAUUAGCAUGUGUUAAUUAUACAUAUUAAUUUGGUUCAGCAUGAUAUUGCAACACAUGUAUACAUCAUGUAUGAAUCAAAUCCAGCCUCCCUCUAUCCACUCUCCUCCUGAUCAUAGGCAUUUAAUAUAUUCUAAAUGUAGUGAUUUACAUUGUUGGCAUUACAUCACAUUCUAAUUAAAUUAUGCUUUUCCAUAAUUGUCCUUUUCUCUGCAAUAUCACUGCUCUACUUCCUUAUUGUAUUUUAGAAUGUAUGAUAUAUGUUCAUAAGGAAGGGUUAAUGAAAAUAAGUAAUCUCUCUUAAUUGGAACCUUUAUUUGUAGGCUGGAGAUAAUGAGUAAUCAAUGUUUAUGUCUUUCUGAUUUUUAAAAUUUAAACAUGAAUGCAUAGUGUCAUCUUCUUAUAACAAUGUUCCAUUUUCUGAUGAUUACAACUUGUUUACUUCAAUGAUAACUGAUUAGCAGUAGUUAUUGUUUUGAUUGUGCAAAAUUUAAAGAAAACAUUUGUGAAAAUAAUAAAGGGCUGAGCAAUAAAUAGCUGGAUUAGAUAUUGUGUCCCUAGAAAAGUCUAACAUUAAAAUUGAAGAAAAGAUUGGUUAAUUUUUUUCCUACACUAAUAAGUGUAAACCAAAAAGAAAAAAAAAAUUAACACCAAAAUUCCAUAAGAUUCACUUUACCAUCAGCAGUGAAACAUAUUUUCAAAUAUGUAGUUUUGAAAGUGUAUGUUUUAAGGAGUGGAUGAUCAAAAGACAUUCACCAUUUGUUAGCUAACUUGCUUUAAGGUGCCUAGAGAUUUGUGUAAUUUCUGAAUGGAUGGGGAUUAUUCUAACUUACUAAAGAUUGUGAAAUUGUAUUUACAUGGAACAUUUGAA